UACAUGGGGUGCAAACGUUGCUCGGAAUUAUUGGGCGUAAAGCGCGCGUAGGCGGUUAUCUAAGUCGGAUGUGAAAGCCCUCGGCUUAACUGAGGAAGUGCACCCGAAACUGGAUAGCUAGAGUACGAAAGAGGGUCGCGGAAUUCCCGGUGUAGAGGUGAAAUUCGCAGAUAUCAGGAGGAACACCGGUGGCGAAGGCGGUUCUCUGGGCAUUACCUGACGCUGAGGAGCGAAAGCGUGGGGAGCGAACAGG
RNAcentral lists this ribosomal RNA (253 nucleotides) under uncultured bacterium. RNAcentral's name for it is "partial 16S ribosomal RNA". It matches the Rfam family "Bacterial small subunit ribosomal RNA", at positions 524 to 776 of the family's 1533-position model. The record is from RNAcentral.